AGCUUAAUACAUGCAAGUCGAGGGGCAGCGCGGGUAACAUACCUGAGUCGGCAGACCGGCAACGGGUGCGGAACACGUACGCAACCUUCCCGAAACUGGUGAAUAGCCCUCCGAAAGGAGGAUUAUACACCGUAACAUAAUGAAGUGGCAUCACUUUAUUAUUAUAGCUCCGGCGGUUAAAGAUGGGCGUGCGCCUGAUUAGGUAGUUGGCGGGGUAACGGCCACAAGCCUGGAUCAGUAACUGGUGUGAGAGCACGACCAGUCACACGGGCACUGAGACACGGGCCCGAUCCUACGGGAGGCAAGCAGUAAGGAAUAUUUGGUCAAUGGACGCAAGUCUGAACCAGCCAAUGCCGCAGUGGAAGGAUUAAGGCCCUCUGGGUUGUAAACUUC
RNAcentral lists this ribosomal RNA (393 nucleotides) under uncultured bacterium. Its description in RNAcentral is "bacterial SSU rRNA". It matches the Rfam family "Bacterial small subunit ribosomal RNA", at positions 45 to 433 of the family's 1533-position model. The record is from RNAcentral.